RNAcentral lists this small RNA (125 nucleotides) under Marmota monax (woodchuck). The record is from RNAcentral. Lineage: Eukaryota; Metazoa; Chordata; Mammalia; Rodentia; Sciuridae.
GCCGGGCGCGGUGGAGCACACCUGUAAUCCUAGUGGCUCUGGAGGCCCAGACAGGAGGAUCGCAAGUUCAAAACCAGUCUCAGCAAUGUCGAAACACUUAACAACUCAGUGGGACCCUGUCUCUA